CGAACGGGUGAGUAACGCGUGAGGAGCCUGCCUCAAAGAGGGGGACAACAGUUGGAAACGACUGCUAAUACCGCAUAAGCCCACGGGUCGGCAUCGACCUGAGGGAAAAGGAGCAAUCCGCUUUGAGAUGGCCUCGCGUCCGAUUAGCUAGUUGGUGAGGUAAUGGCCCACCAAGGCGACGAUCGGUAGCCGGACUGAGAGGUUGAACGGCCACAUUGGGACUGAGACACGGCCCAG
RNAcentral lists this ribosomal RNA (237 nucleotides) under uncultured bacterium. RNAcentral describes it as "partial 16S ribosomal RNA". It matches the Rfam family "Bacterial small subunit ribosomal RNA", at positions 99 to 334 of the family's 1533-position model. The record is from RNAcentral.